AUGAUGAACAAAGAAGGUAGAAAGGAGUUGGCAGUAUCUCCGCUUCUGCCUGUUGUGUCCUCGCAGGAAAUACACCCGGCGUGCUCUGACCUUCCUCUCUUCCAGCCCAGUUUGGAGCAUCUCAGAGAAGGAAGAUUUCCCUCCCUCGUUUGGAGUGUGUGGGGAAAGUCACUCAGUUUUUUAAAAGAACACAGCAUAGAAUUCGGAACAUAAUAAACACUGUGCUUUCUGAAAGUAAAUUAUUUUUGUCUUGCUUGUGGCUAUUUGGUGUCUUUGAGAAGCUGACUGUUGUUAGGUGUAUGUGAGGGGCAAGAGCUCUAAGACUGUAAAAAUGGGGGCUUGGUAUUGAGUUCUAGUCAGCUCCAGACUACGCUGCUGAUAAAGGGGGCACAGAGGAAUUCAGAGUCUAGUGCAGAAGGAAGACCACACAGCUUCUUCUCCAGGUCUCUCCACUUCAAUCCAGUGAUAGUAUCUUCUAGUGAUAUAAUUUGUACAUGUAUUAUCUUUGUAGCUACAAGGAGUGUAAAUAUAGGAAGAGUAUUUGCUAUGUUAAAACUUUUGUACGCUCUUUUGGGCAGCUAAGGAAUACAAUGUCUGUUUUGACAUUGUACAAACAAACAGUUUUGAGUAGUUGAAGUAAGUACCCAUCCAACAUCGUGACUGACUCAUCGCAGAGAUCAACACGUUUUAAGAAAGCAAUUCUACUUGUUUUUUGAUCUUUCAGUAGAUGAGAAUGUUAUCUUUUUUUCUACCUCUCUGAAGAUUGCAUUGAAAUAGAUUUAUCCAUUGUGAAACAUGAAAGAUUUAGAAUAGAUGCAGGUAAUAGGGAAAAUAAGUAUCUUUCUUGUGGAAUCUGACCCUGAAUCUAGGGUAUGUUUUAGUACUUCCUAUUUUCUUUGGAUUUUGAUUGCCUGAAGUGAUUAGCCCCGAGUUUGCCUCCAGAUGUUAGCAGGCCCUCUUACAGGAAUGAGGCUAGGCAUCAAAUACACGUGUAGAAGCAGCUCUAGAUUUACUUACAUUUUUGUAGCUAUGUUUUUUUUCAUGCAGAUUCUUACGUAUGAGCUAAGCUCGUAGGAAUCCUCCGCGUAUACAAAUAAAAGCUUUGGAUUUGGAAUGUAGCA
RNAcentral lists this long non-coding RNA (1121 nucleotides) under Numida meleagris (helmeted guineafowl). RNAcentral's name for it is "lncRNA (ENSNMEG00000022016.1)". Lineage: Eukaryota; Metazoa; Chordata; Aves; Galliformes; Numididae. The record is from RNAcentral.